Dermochelys coriacea (leatherback sea turtle) is the source of this 1567-nucleotide long non-coding RNA. RefSeq lists it as uncharacterized. The transcript is spliced from 4 exons. The record is from RefSeq and is a predicted model, not a curated record. Lineage: Eukaryota; Metazoa; Chordata; Testudines; Dermochelyidae.
AGAGCAGAUUAGUUGUCAGGAAGAGUUAUCAGAGACAGAUGGUUCUUGGGAGCUGGUAGUAGAGUAGCAAGAGCAGUUGGCUGGCUGGUGUCCCUGAGUCAGAGCUGGAGAGGGCUGAAGGCAGCACCAGAAAAGGGAGAUGGCUCUGGCUUUACAGCUCAGAGCCAGGAGUUACACUAUGAUGGACUGGAGGAUAAACUUGUAUGGAGUUACUGGGGACUCAAGGGAAAAUGAAGCAUGGGGCACUUGUCUCUUCUCCUGUCAGAACCCAUAUAAUGUAGAUGGUUCAGCUUCUUCAGAAGUAAAAGAAAUCAAAUUGGCCAGUCCCCACCUGCCAUAAACAGAAAAUAUAUUUAGUGGAGUCCAGAUAUGACUCUUGAUUCUUAAAACUUCUGAUGUAGAAUGACGUCUACAGAGAAAAAGCUGAGAAGAUAACUGAAGGAGGAUAGUUCUGACUCCUUGCUCUCCUGUGGAAUGUGCCUUGAAGAUUACUAGUUGUGACAGUGUGUGGGGACUGCUAAUGUAACAUUAGGCCACUGCAUAAUCAUCAGAGGGUACUAUAAUGACUUUUGACUGUUACUAGCCUGAGCUGGAUUUGAACUGGUGACACAGAGAUGAAAGGUUUUAUAUGCUAUUUCCCUUAUCCUGUAGCUAUCGAGUUCCACUAAUGAGUGCUGAAUUCUGUUACCAUGGAGCUUUAUGUUUUGAAUAUUGUGCUGGUGUUUUCUGGAAAUGUUUUGAUGACAAUGGUAUGUCUUGAGCUGACUGUGCAACACCAUAUCAGAGACCCAUUUUAUAUAUUUCUCUUACUAUUACUAGAGCACAUCUUCAUUUUUAUAAAACCAAUCUUGGGAUAUGGAUUUGUGCCAUUGCAACAUUUUGAGCUGAUUAUUGUUAAUGAUUAGGAACUGGCAUAUGACAGUGAUGGGACUGUUUAUAAGAAUCUAGACUGACAACUGUCUUAUCUACAGACUGAUUCAGCAAGAAAUUUCAGAUUAGUAAAAGAUCAGCAGUUCUCACCAGAGACAGCUCAAUACGGUAUAUUUCUCAUCUCUUAGUAGCAUUCCAUGUUGACUUCAAGAUCUUUUAAAUGAUUUUGAAGACACUCCACCAUUCUGCUCAUUGGUACAUCUCCAAUUUGCUAGAUCCAUAUUGUCCCCACUGUUUGUUUACAAUCCUCAAAGCAGGGGUUGAAUUCUGUUCCACAAUUUCACCUGAAGACCUACAGAUGCAGUACAGAGUGAGGAUUGUUUCUGCUAGUAUGCAUUAUUCUGAAAAUUUGCUUCCACUAUAUUAGGAACUCUAUUAUCUCUGUGUAUGGACCUAGGACUAAUCUGAAAACUUCUUUUCAGUCUCAUUAAUUUUGAUAUGGUUUUGUAUCAAAGCUCAUGUUAAUGUUUGAUGUUUGUAUCAUUCUUUCAAUAAACUUGAUGUGAGCAAAUUGUAUUGCCUUGUACAAUAUCCAUAUUUCUAAGGUAUUAAAGCAACUAAAAUAAUACCAAUUAAUAUUCAGGAAAUUAAUGAGCUGAGAUAUUGGUUACUUUGCAAAAUAUACUCAUUUUACCAU